GGAAGGGGAGCGUUUCUGCACAGCUAUUUUCAGGUCUCUCCAGAGAUGAUUGAUAGGGUUCAAUUCCGGGCUCUGGCUGGGCCGCUCAAGGACAUUGAGACUUAUCCCGAAGUCACUCCUGCGUUGUCUUGGCUGUGUGCUUUAGGGUCGUUGUCCUGUUGGAAGGUGAACCUUCGCCCCGGUCUGAGAUCUCUGGAGCAAGUUUUCAUCAAUGAUCUCUCUGUCCUUUGCUCGGUUCUUCUUUCCCUCAAUCCUGACUAGACUUUCAGUCCCUUCUGCUGAAAAACAGGUGUGUGCCUUUACAAAUCAUGUUCAAUCAAUUGAAUUUACACCGGGUGGACUCCUAUCAAGUUGUAGAUCCAUCUCAAGGUUGAUCAAUGGAAACAGGAUGCACCCAAGCUCAAUUUAGAGUCUCAGCAAAGGGUCUGAAUACUUAUUUAAUUAAGAUAUUUUUUGUAUUUUUUUUGCCAACAAAAAAAUUGCCAGCGUUUCUAAAAACCUGUUUCAGCUUUGUGUCGUUGUGGGGUACUGUGUCGUUGUGGGGUACUGCGUCGUUGUGGGGUACUGUGUCGUUGUGGGGUACUGUGUCAUUGUGUCGUUGUGGGGUACAGUGGCGUUGGGGGUAUAGUGUCGUUGUGGGGUACUGUGUCGUUGUGGGGUACAGUGUCGUUGUGGGGUACUGUGUCGUUGUGGGGUACAGUGUCGUUGUGGGGUACAGUGUCGUUGUGGGGUACUGUGGGGUAUAGUGGGGUAUAGUGUGGGGUACAGUGGGGUACAGUGUCGUUGUGGGGUACUGUGUCGUUGUGGGGUACAGUGUCGUUGUGGGGUACAGUGGCGUUGUGGCGUUGGGUAUAGUGGGGUAUAGUGUCGUUGUGGGGUACAGUGUCGUUGUGGGGUACAGUGUCGUUGUGGGGUACUGUGGGUGUGUGGGGUACAGUGUCGUUGUGGGGUACAGUGUCGUUGUGGGGUACAGUGGCGUUGUGUGGUGGCGUUGUGGGGUGUGGUGGCGU
This is a long non-coding RNA of Oncorhynchus tshawytscha (Chinook salmon), 1010 nucleotides long. The record is from Ensembl. NCBI's taxonomy places the organism in Eukaryota, Metazoa, Chordata, Actinopteri, Salmoniformes, Salmonidae.